UGGACAGUAUCUUGAGCUCACUAUCCAGAA
This 30-nucleotide non-coding RNA is filed under the name Rattus norvegicus (Norway rat). Lineage: Eukaryota; Metazoa; Chordata; Mammalia; Rodentia; Muridae. The record is from RNAcentral.